Molecule: ribosomal RNA, 446 nt
Filed under: uncultured bacterium
Lineage: Bacteria
Description: partial 16S ribosomal RNA
Rfam family: Bacterial small subunit ribosomal RNA
Source: RNAcentral
CCUACGGGUGGCAGCAGUCGAGAAUCAUUCACAAUGGGGGAAACCCUGAUGGCGCGACGCCGCGUGGGGGAAUGAAGGUCUGCGGAUUGUAAACCCCUGUCAUGUGGGAGCAAAUUAAAAAGAUAGUACCACAAGAGGAAGAGACGGAUAACUCUGUGCCAGCCGCCGCGGUAAUACAGAGGUCUCAAGCGUUGUUCGGAAUCACUGGGCGUAAAGGGUGCGUAGGCUGUUUCGUAAGUCGUGUGUGAAAGGCGCGGGCUCAACCCGCGGACGGCACCUGAUACUGCGAGACUAGAGUAAUGGAGGGGGAACCGGAAUUCUCGGUGUAGCAGUGAAAUGCGUAGAUAUCGAGAGGAACACUCGUGGCGAAGGCGGGUUCCUGGACAUUAACUGACGCUGAGGCACGAAGGCCAGGGGAGCGAAAGGGAUUAGAUACCCUUGUAGUC